UGCAUGGUUGUCGUCAGCUCGUGCCGUGAGGUGUCGGGUUAAGUCCCAUAACGAGCGCAACCCUACCUUUAGUUGCCAUCAGGUAAUGCUGGGGACUCUAAAGGAACUGCUACGCAAGUAGUGAGGAAGGCGGGGAUGACGUCAAAUCAGCACGGCCCUUACGUCCAGGGCUACACACGUGCUACAAUGGCCGAUACAGAGGGCAGCUACCUGGUGACAGGAUGCAAAUCUCCAAAGUCGGUCUCAGUUCGGAUCGGAGUCUGCAACCCGACUCCGUGAAGUUGGAUUCGCUAGUAAUCGCGCAUCAGCCAUGGCGCGGUGAAUACGUUCCCGGGCCUU
This 339-nucleotide ribosomal RNA is filed under the name uncultured Sphingobacteriales bacterium. Its description in RNAcentral is "bacterial SSU rRNA". It matches the Rfam family "Bacterial small subunit ribosomal RNA", at positions 1042 to 1382 of the family's 1533-position model. The record is from RNAcentral. Lineage: Bacteria; Pseudomonadati; Bacteroidota; Sphingobacteriia; Sphingobacteriales.